Homo sapiens (human) is the source of this 526-nucleotide long non-coding RNA. The record is from Ensembl. Lineage: Eukaryota; Metazoa; Chordata; Mammalia; Primates; Hominidae.
AAGGGGAGGUAUUGCCAAAGAGUUUAGGAACGCCACACAGUGCGCCAUCUGAAAACUUUCUCCACACUUCCACGCAACCCCAAAGGCUGAUUUUACCUCCAAGAGCCUCCCGGACCCAGCAGAUGAACUCCUUUCUCAGGGACAGAGCCUGCAGCCCCUUGCACCGGGCCUCGCUGAUGUCCUGGAGCAGCUUUUUGGCCUGGAUGAGCUCCUGGUUGAUCUGGUCCAGUGUUUCACGGCGAAAGUCGUCGAAGUUAUCAGUCUGCAAGAAAAAGCUCUACUGUGGACUGGAACUCAUUAACCAGAACCCCAGAAUCUGUGAGCUGCAAGCACUGACCGUCCCAGCAGCCCCACCCUCCCUCAAUGCCUAGAUUUGCCACUGCUGUGACAACAGGCACACCAAGCUCUUACCCCUGAAUUGGAUGAUCAAACCCCCAUGGCUGUUUCUCCCUGAUCAAGAUGAACUGUGAUUCCUGGGAACCUGAUAUUCUGCUAAGCAUUUUAAUAAAGUGGAUUUUAAAAUCAA